This 447-nucleotide ribosomal RNA is filed under the name uncultured bacterium. RNAcentral's name for it is "bacterial SSU rRNA". It matches the Rfam family "Bacterial small subunit ribosomal RNA", at positions 355 to 825 of the family's 1533-position model. The record is from RNAcentral.
UCGGGAAUUUUGGGCAAUGGGCGAAAGCCUGACCCAGCAACGCCGCGUGAAGGAUGAAGUAUUUCGGUAUGUAAACUUCGAAAGAAUAGGAAGAAUAAAUGACGGUACUAUUUAUAAGGUCCGGCUAACUACGUGCCAGCAGCCGCGGUAAUACGUAGGGACCAAGCGUUGUUCGGAUUUACUGGGCGUAAAGGGCGCGUAGGCGGCAAUUCAAGUCAUCUGUGAAAUCUCCGGGCUUAACUCGGAACGGUCAGAUGAUACUGCUUUGCUAGAGUGUAGCAGAGGGGGGUAGAAUUCCACGUGUAGCAGUGAAAUGCGUAGAUAUGUGGAGGAAUACCGAUGGCGAAGGCAGCCCCCUGGGCUAACACUGACGCUCAUGCACGAAAGCGUGGGGAGCAAACAGGAUUAGAUACCCAGGUAGUCCCUGAGCGGGCUGGCAAGGCGCAU